UGUGGUGGCUGAAUGAUCGAAAGCAGGCCACAAAACUAUACAAAGAGAAGGCCAACCCUAAUAAAGAUACUUGGGUUACAUUCAAGCUCAUUAAAGUUAACCAUACAUCAGGUAUAGCUUUCUUUGAAAAUAAGAGCAAAUUCCUGUUAAUUAUUAUAAAUUCCGAUUGAAUAUUUACAGUAACUGUCUAUGUACAUGCAUCAGUGCAACAAUACCUUUUUCAUAUUUGAUCAUACGUAAUGUAAAUAUAAUUAUUUGUAGACAAGAAAUCAGAGUUUGAUCAUUUUGAUUUAACCACCUCUGUUACGGAUGCUGAAGACGAGGAUGAGACACCCAAUCCAAAACGCAAAAGUAAGAAGCGGGUGUUCUCCGAUUACGUUGAUUACUUUGAUUCUGAUGCUGCUACUCCAAAAAAGAAGAAGCCACCGAAGCUGCCAGUGCCACCCCCAAAACUGAGGUUCUCUCCUAGGAAGAGUGUCUCGUAGAACUCACUCAGCUUUUCAAGUACGCUUUAAGGUAGGUUAUUGGAAUUAAAGUUAAAAUGUUUUCUUAAUGUCCUUAGAAGAUAACCAUCAUCAAUCAUAUUUAAAGACAAGUUAACACCAUUUUUUAUGUUAUUGAAGCCCAACCAUCAAAGGUGAGAACCUCCCCAAGGAAAAAAACAGUGCCGAGUUCUGGCUUCAACAUUCCUGAAGAGUCUCCCAGGCAGAAGACCAUGUCCAGACCAGAAGAGAAGAGAGAGAGAUAUCCUCUUUCAGAAGGAAGUAAGUACAGUUAAAAUGAACUACAGAUGUGGGCAUUUUUUAUUUUUAAGAUUAUAAAUUGCAUGUAGCACAUUAGCAACACUACAGUAAUGCUAAUGUGACAAUAGUGUAAGAAAAUCCUAAACCAAUUCCUUUUAAAUGCUGAUAUAAAAUGUAAAUUAUUUCAGAGUUUCAGAAGCGGGUAUUGGGCCUCCUGAUAGGGAUGAGGGAUGAAUUGAGGCGUUUGGGUACGUCCACAGAACUGGUGGACUCCCAAUUCCACAUC
Lepisosteus oculatus (spotted gar) is the source of this 1029-nucleotide non-coding RNA. The record is from RefSeq and is a predicted model, not a curated record. Lineage: Eukaryota; Metazoa; Chordata; Actinopteri; Semionotiformes; Lepisosteidae.